This 211-nucleotide unclassified non-coding RNA is filed under the name plant metagenome. Its description in RNAcentral is "partial contains small subunit ribosomal RNA, internal transcribed spacer 1, and 5.8S ribosomal RNA". The record is from RNAcentral.
UUUCCGUAGGUGAACCUGCGGAAGGAUCAUUCAUAAUAAAGUGUUUUAUGGCACUUUUUAAAAAUCAAUAUCCACCUCGUGUGCAAUGUUAGAUCUCGUCAAUCUUGGCGAGAUUUUUAUACAUCAACUCAUUCUUUAACUAAUUUGUCUGAAAAAUAUUAUGAAUACUUAAUUCAAAAUACAACUUUCAACAACGGAUCUCUUGGCUCUC